AGAUGCUCCAGCUUCUCCCCACGUUUCCUGUGGGUCAGCUCUGUAGAGGGAGUGUGAGGAGAGGGACGACUGUUACACCAGCUGCCCUGAGCUCCCAAUUCGCCCCCGCUCACUGGACCCACGCUUCAGGAGCAAUCAUUGCCCUUAGAUUCAAGUCUUAAUAUUUCUACCAUAACAGAAAUGCAAGAAAUAGAAUGGUGAACAAGACCUAUGAGACCUCUACGGGAGACAGAUAACACGCCUCUUCUUACACAAAUCAUAGUGGAAAUUUUACUGAGCACUGAG
This 285-nucleotide long non-coding RNA is filed under the name Fukomys damarensis (Damara mole-rat). RNAcentral describes it as "lncRNA (ENSFDAG00000032560.1)". Lineage: Eukaryota; Metazoa; Chordata; Mammalia; Rodentia; Bathyergidae. The record is from RNAcentral.